UACGGAGGGAGCUAGCGUUGUUCGGAAUUACUGGGCGUAAAGCGCACGUAGGCGGUUAUUCAAGUCAGAGGUGAAAGCCCGGGGCUCAACCCCGGAACGGCCUUUGAAACUAGAUAGCUAGAAUCUUGGAGAGGUCAGUGGAAUUCCGAGUGUAGAGGUGAAGUUCGUAGAUAUUCGGAAGAACACCAGUGGCGAAGGCGGCCGACUGGUCCGGUUCUGACGCUGAGGCGCGAAAGCGUGGGGAGCAAACAGG
Molecule: ribosomal RNA, 253 nt
Filed under: uncultured bacterium
Lineage: Bacteria
Description: partial 16S ribosomal RNA
Rfam family: Bacterial small subunit ribosomal RNA
Source: RNAcentral